This is a long non-coding RNA of Cucurbita moschata (crookneck pumpkin), 533 nucleotides long. RefSeq lists it as uncharacterized. The transcript is spliced from 2 exons. The record is from RefSeq and is a predicted model, not a curated record. NCBI's taxonomy places the organism in Eukaryota, Viridiplantae, Streptophyta, Magnoliopsida, Cucurbitales, Cucurbitaceae.
CUCUCUCGAAUAUAUCAACCUCGUAAGUGUACAUAUAUAUAUAUAUAUAGUUGCAAUGGGUUGGGAUGAAAGAAGUGGAAGAUAAAUUAAUGAGUAGGGCCAAAGGGUUGCAGCAAAGAGAAGCCAAGUUUAUGGCAAACACUAAUGGAGAUAUAAUAAUGAUGAUACAUCUGACAUGUUCAUCGAUAUCUUGCCCAUAAGUCUAGGGAGAUGAGCUUGUGAAAAGGUGAGUGGGGACGUGGCAGGGCAGGUAGCAGCAGAAGCAAAGUCGUCUAUGAAAGAGAGGAAGAAAUUGGAUGCUGGUUUUGCCCAUUUUUGAAUCAGAAAUUCCUGUUUGUACAAACUUCUUCUUCUUCUUUUUUUGUUUUUUGUAUUAAUUUAUGUAUUUAUGUUUGAAAUGAUUUGCGUUGUUUUGCUUCUCACAUGUCACUUUUAAUAAUGUUGUCCCCACUCAAUAUCUCAUCCCACAUGUCAUCCUCACUCAUGUUACUUGAUUCAAAUUACUUUUAACUCAAAAUAGUAAAAUUUACUUA